This 513-nucleotide ribosomal RNA is filed under the name Turbinella pyrum. RNAcentral describes it as "partial 16S ribosomal RNA". It matches the Rfam family "Bacterial large subunit ribosomal RNA", at positions 1800 to 2571 of the family's 2925-position model. The record is from RNAcentral. Lineage: Eukaryota; Metazoa; Mollusca; Gastropoda; Neogastropoda; Turbinellidae.
CUGUUUAUCAAAAACAUGGCUCUCUGUAUAUUGAAGAUAGAGAGUCGGACCUGCCCGGUGAAUUUUUUAACGGCCGCGGUACUCUGACCGUGCAAAGGUAGCAUAAUCAUUUGCCUUAUAAUUGAAGGCUAGAAUGAAUGGUUUGACAAGAAUACAACUGUCUCUUUACAAUUACAUAAAAUUUUAUCUGCAGUUGAAGAAGCCUGCAUUUGAAUAAAAGACAAGAAGACCCUAUCGAGCUUAAAAAAAACUGGUGGAAUAACAAACUUAAUCCUAACUUAUAAAUAAAUAAAUAGUCAACUACUGGAAAUUUUGGUUGGGGCGACCGGGGAACAAAAAAAACUUCCUUUAUAAAAAUUUAGAUGCCCAAAUAUUGAUCCAGCAUUAUAUGAUUAAAGAAAUUAGUUUCCGUAGGGAUAACAGCAUUAUCUUUUUUAAGAGUUCUUAUCGAAAAAUUCGUUUGUGACCUCGAUGUUGGACCAGAAUAUCCUAAAGAUGCAGCCGUCUUAAGGG